UACGUAGGCAGCGAGCGUUGUUCGGAAUUACUGGGCGUAAAGAGUGUGUAGGCGGUGCUCCCAGUCUGUUGUGAAAGCCCCCGGCUCAACUGGGGAGGGUCAUCGGUAACGGUCGUGCUAUGAGUGCAGGAGAGGGAAGUGGAACUCCGGGAGUAGCGGUGAAAUGCGUAGAGACCCGGAGGAACACCAGUGGCGAAGGCGGCUUCCUGGUCUGCGACUGACGCUGUGGCGCGAAAGCUAGGGGAGCAAACGGG
RNAcentral lists this ribosomal RNA (254 nucleotides) under uncultured bacterium. RNAcentral's name for it is "partial 16S ribosomal RNA". It matches the Rfam family "Bacterial small subunit ribosomal RNA", at positions 524 to 776 of the family's 1533-position model. The record is from RNAcentral.